Molecule: long non-coding RNA, 979 nt
Organism: Oncorhynchus mykiss (rainbow trout)
Lineage: Eukaryota; Metazoa; Chordata; Actinopteri; Salmoniformes; Salmonidae
Source: RefSeq, a predicted model, not a curated record
CCAAUAAGACAUCUGUCUCUGUUUCAAUUUACAUACGCAUUGUCACAACAUGUGGCAUGAAUCCCCUCUCCCGAAUGCCAAAUAUGUCAUUACAAUUCCUAUUCAAAUCCAAUCAAACCAUGAUUACUACAAAAGCCCCCGUAUUGCCGUGCUCCUAUAUGCAGGUUUGAGGCUUAGCUCCCUUUAAGCAAAUAUUUAUCCCUCCAGCCAGGAUGACUUUAUUGCAGUUUGUGAUUAUAUAUGGGUCUGUGAGAGGAGUGUCAACCGUGCAUGCUCCACAAUGUGCCUGGAGAGAUUGAUGUUUUGUCAUCCACCUGCUUCAAAGCUGUAAAACCCGGGAGGCAGCAGCAAACGGAGAGACCUACCCAGCCCGGAAAAAAACAAACAAAGAGAGACCUUACUGGUGCUGUUUACACAUCUGUGUGGAGGACUAUCUGGGCUUGUGUGUUUUGACAUCGCGCUCAAAUGGCUGCACGGCUCCUGUCUCAGUGAAACGGAAGAUGUAGAGGAGCUGAAUGCUGGAGAGUGAGUGAAGGAGUGAAGCUGAGCCCUGGACGGAGGGAUCUGCUGGAGGAAAGGAGAGAGAGAGUGUCGGCUGAACUGGGCCACAGCAUCCGAGCUGGGAGACCUGAGAGAAGAGAUGGGAGAGGGCGGCUCCGCUGACUGGAGGAGUACCAGCUGGUCUCAAACAGGUAGGGAGCCGUGCCAAGUCCCUGUGCCAGCGUCUGUCGUGCCCGCUGACGUUCGUCGUCUGUUGGCUUCCAUCAGGGCCUCUCUCUCUCUCUGAUCUGGAAUGAAGAUGAUUUGAUUAGACCUCUGGUAAAGGCUGGGCAGGCCCUAUACAAAGUCAUUAGGAUGGCCAGGAGUGGACUGGGGUGUUACGGGUGAGUAGUGGGUGACCGCAGCGGACUCACAUUUGCACUGGACUGUUAGUUAAAAUGUUGUGUGUCUGUGCAUGUGUGUGUAUGCACCUUUUGAA